GUCCUUCGCAAAUUCUUUGGUCCUAACUCAUAUUGCAUUGAGCCUCUCCUGACAGUCGAGCCGCUUUCGCUCGUCUUGACCCGUCCGAAGGCUCAAAGAAUGAUCGACGAGACUCCCACGGGGCGGUUCGAAGAAAGUCGACUAAGAAGGAGUCAAUGAUGAUAAUCAGGGUUGAAUCAGGGGUUAGGAAGGAGAGGUUCAAAGAAUUUUCAAGCUCAUUCCUUAUUUAUGUUCAGGAGCGAAGGUACUCGUAGUUUUCAAUAUAGGAGAGGAGCGAAGCCACUCGACUGAGGUUAGGAAGGUUCAGAGCGAAGGUACUCGACUGAUAAGGAGAGGAGCGAAGGUACUCGACUGAUAAGGAGAGGAGCGAAGGUACUCGACUGAUAAGGAGAGGAGCCCUUUCCCUUUAUAUUAGAAAUAACUCGACUAAUUAAACUACCACGGACCGGUGAGAAGAAUGAGAGAAGCGACUGAAAGUUAAGGAAUUCUCCCUUCUUUCUCGCCCUUCAAAGACGAAAUAACUCGACUCCAAAUGAUAAGGAUCAAAGACUGAUCUCAGAAUUUUCAAGCUCAUUCCUUAUUCUUCAAAAAAAAAGGAGUGCAACUUGUUUAUAUCCAUAUUCAUCUGUCCGAAGGACUCUCAAAUUCUUUGAGCCUGACGCUAGGAGCAAAGAAUUUGCGAAAAGGGUCAAAGCCCUCAAGAAAAAAGGAUCAAAGAAUUAUCGAAGGCAAUUAUAUUAUAAGGCGCAAAGAAUUUGCGUAGUAGAAGGAGCAAAGAAUUUGCGAACCUGAAAGGAGAGGUGAAAGGCUCAUUGAACUCGACUGAGGUUAGGAAGGCGGAGUAGGAGAUUGAUUCUUUGCUCCUUAACAGGAGUGCAAAAAGGUGAAAAGAAUUUGAAUGAAAGAGGAGGCUCGACUGAAAGGAGUCCAAGAUUCAAGCUUCAUCAAUGAAUAAAGAGAAGCUCCUUAACAGGAGUGCAAGGCAGUCGGCUGAAUGAAUAUGAGUUCCUCAUUCCACUAUCAAAAUCAUUCAUUCCACUCAAAAAAGUCCUGAGGACGGACUCAUUCAUUCCACUAUCAGAAUCUGAGGAUAGGCUUGAUUUUCAGAAUGUAGAUGUAUCAAAGAUGGAACUAGAAGAAUUUGAGAAGCGGAGGCUCAAAGCCUACCUCUUACGCUGAAAAAAGUGGUUAACCAUCUCUUUGAAAUCCAUCCAUCUCGUCGAGACGAAAAAGGUGUCUCAACUACAGCCAACUCCCCUCUUUCCCUAUCUCAAAACUCACCCUACAACAUGGAUGAUAGAAAUGCUAACCAAACACACACACACCCUUAUACACUAAUCAAGGCUCAAAGAAUAUUGAGGCGAGACCCAUCAAAAUGCAAAAUCUCUUUCGCAAAUUCGCAAAUUCUUUGCGCCUUUGUUCAUUGAUUCAGCUUGAAUCUUGGACUCCUUUCAGACUAAUUAAGCUACUCCGCUCCAUGAAUAUGGAUCAAAACAAGUCCUUCGGACUAAUUAAGCUACGUAGAACCAAAAAGGUCCAGAUUCCUCUCUCCUUUCAGUCGAGCCUGUGGAUCAAAUCAGUGGAAUGAACAAGUCCUUCGCAUCUAGACCUCUUAUAAUUCUACGGGGUCCGACUAUCCACUGACUUCGCUAGGCCCUUGUGAAUUGAGGACUGAGAGUUUCCUCCUCAUUCUCCCACGGAGAAAAUGAGAAAAGAGCUUUCAGAGAAGACAAGAGAUCAAUGAACAAGGGAAGAAUGAGACAGGACAGAAGCCAGAAAGAGAAGAGAAAGCCUCCCAACAACAUCGAUCAGUCUGAGAGGAAGAAAAGGAAUAAAGAAAGAGCUCAAAAAAAAGGAGGCUAGAAGGGAAGAGAAAGCCCACUACGCUAGGCUUUAUCGGUAUAGGUUUGGAAGGUUUCAGAAGAGGAAGGUGAAAGAAGAAGACAAUGAAACUCAAUGAACAAGGGCUUGAUCUUAUGAGGCCUUCUACGGACUCCCAGAAAGAUCAAGCCUAUGAAAGGAAAGCCACUAAAAACCUACGCCCGGAGUCAAGGUUAUGGAAUAGCGAGACCGCUCCGUUAGGAUCAAAGAGGUCUGGAGGACCCGUCCGGAGGAUAGGCUUGAUUUUCACAAUGUAGAUGUAUCAAAGAUGGAAGAGGUCCGAAGUGGAAUAUUCAUAUGUCCUUAUCAAUGAGACCACAGGUGAAUAUGGAUUUCAGACUCCUAAAAAAUCAGAGGUUCAUAUUCCAUUUCAUGACUCCUUCUACGGGAGGCGCGAAGCGAAGCGACUCUGAAUUCGAGAAUUCUUCUCAAAUUCCACUAACCCCUCCGUUAGGAGUAUUAAGACCGGAGGACCCAUUUGAUCCCGCAAAGUCUUUGACUUUAUUCUCAAUGAGACCACUAACUAGGUUAAGUGAAAUAUUGAAGGAGAUAGAGAGGAAGAAGCUAAUAUAAGGAUAGGAGUGUGAAGGAGCGCAAUCAAUGAACAAGGCUCCGUAAGGAGUUGCGACGUGCUUUUCAAUCAAAAAGAGAAGAAAGAAGAAGGAAGAAGAUAGAGAGAAGAAAGAUCUUUUUUUCUGAAAGAGAAAAGAGAAGAGAAAAAGAAAGAGAAGUUCAUAUUAGUUCCAUGAAUGAGUCACCUGGACCUUUGUUUUUGGAGUCUGAUCUUUUCUUCUUAUUUCGCGGGAUGUUCAAUUCUUCUCUCUUUCCUAAUGGAUCACAAACAAAAGGAAUCAAUCUUUCUCUUUUCAUAUCUUUCUUUUUUUUUUGGAGUGAAUUGGUUUUCUUUGGUUUGUUCUUUCUUCUCUUCAUCGGGGAAUGUCUCCAUCAAGGUGCGCCGCUCUUCUCUCUUUCAUUCGAACUGAGAUAGUCAGCCGUAGAGUGAAAUCGGAUCGAUCACUCUUUUCUCUUUCAUCUCUUUUUUCCGUACUACCAGAAUCAAGGCCCCUUGUUCAUUGAGGCGGUGCGAAGGCAAGGCUCAAAGAAAGAUGAAUAUGGUUUUUCGCAAAUUCUUUGCUCCUAGCUACGGGGUCAAGACGACCUCCUCCGGAGUAUAUAGCUCGUGAAUAUGUCCUUAUCAACUCAACUCCUACUCCGCCUCUAUCUGACUUAGUCGAGCUGCUUCGCACCUGUGAAGUCGCUUCUCAAACCUUUGAGUGUGGAAUUCGAAAAGAAUUUUCUCAUUCUUUGAGCCUUAACAGAUGAAUAUGGAUUUCUGACUCGUCCGGAGGUUCAUAUUCCAUUGACUGAGUUCCACUCCUUUGAAUUUGAAGAAUAAGGAAGUCUUUAUUCAAUGAGCUGAGAUAAUUCUUUGAUCCUUACAGAUGAAUAUGGAUUUCUGACUCGUCCGGAGGCGGUAUAUUGUUCUGAUAAUCGUCGGGCUCCUUCACAUAAUAAGGAAUAAGGACUUUCGCUUUCAAGUCCUAACCUUUGUAUCCUUUGAUUUGGAGUCGUCCGGAGGUUAUGAAAUAACGAGAAAAAAAACAAAGAAAUUCAUGAAUUGAGAAUGAAACCUAUGAAUUUUUGUAAUCAACGACCUUGUAAUCCUUAGCGAAAAUUCAGAAAAUGCUAGGUUUUGGGCCUAUAAAGUAGCAAGAAAGAAAGUCAAAUGCCUGAUUUUUUUAUCUAUUUUCGUUAAAUAGAAAGAUGAGAAAAAGUCAGAUUUAGAAGGAAAAAAGACGGGAAAACGCAAUGAAAGAAUCAAGCCUAUCAAAGAAAUGAACAUUGUUUGAUUAUAGUUCUAGUUUCUGGUCCGGAUAAAGAGAGGAUCAAGAAAUGUUUUUCACUCAAUUAUCGUUAUAUAUCAAGAUUCGAAAAAGUCAGAUUUAGAAGGAAAAAAGUAGUUUAAUUAAUUGCAAUUCAAGAAUCAAGCCUAGGACAGGUAAAAGAAAUGAACAUAGUUUGAUUAUGGUUUGUGGUCCGUAGGUUAAUAUGGAUAGUCCUCCGGAUAAAUCCUCCGGACAGGGAUCUUCUUUGAAUAAGGACGGAUCAUGAAUUCCACUCAAAAUUCCUCUGGUCUCGUCUAUGAAUAUUAAUGGUUCUGACUUGCACUCCUCUCCUUCUUAGUCUCGGUCCUCUCCCCCUAUCGUCGGCGAGCCGCUUUCGCUCUGAACCUUCGUAGCUUGAUUCUGCUUCGCUCUGAACCUUCGUAGCUUGAUUCUGCUUCGCUCUGAACCUAUAUUUUUUUCUACGAGUACCUUCGCUCUGAACCUUCCUAACCUCAGUCGAGCCGCUUUCGCUCCUGUCCUUCGUAGCUUGAUUCUGCUUCGCUCCUGCACAGUCCUUUCGCUUCGCGCCGGAGGACAGGUGAAUAUGGAAUGAAGCUAGUCCGGACCCUUAUUUAUUCUGGACCCCUCGCAAAUUCUUUGCGCCUUGUUCUCUCCUUUCAGUCGAGCCCUCAGUCCUCUUCAAUCUACCAUAUGAACUUUGAUUGCAUUUCUGAACUUCAUCCACUAGGCUUUCUUGUUGCGGGACUGUCAACUCCUUCUCAACUCCUACGGAGCCUUGUUCUCUCCUUUCAGUCGAGCCUUCCCUUUCUUUUGUUGCGGGACUAAUUUGAGAUUGAUCUGAUCUGAGAUUCAUUUCAUUAUUAUGCUUCCUUUAUCUGAAAUUCACUUUCUUGUUCUUGGACUGAUUAUAAUGGAACUCACUAUCUUCUUAUGGGACUGAUUAUGUUAAGCAAUUCAUUCAUGGUCCUAGGCUUAAUGAACCUACUAUUUAGAGGAAAGUGAAUAUGGAAGAAGACUACUCCGGAGGAGCCGUCGGACUAAGCUUUUUCCAUGAAAUUCAGUACCAAAAUAGCUCUUUCUUCCACUUUUCUUAUAUCACUCUUUUUUUUGUCUUUUUUGACUCCCUAAAAAGCAAAAAAAGCUCUUUGCAUAGGCCUGACUAAACUGGCAUUUUCUUCCAACUCCCCUACCGCUCCGUGGGAAGGAAGAAAGAGAGAAUAUUCGAUUUUGAUGGUUGGGCAGGAAAAGUACGAUUGGAUUUUGUCGGGACUGACGGGGCUCGAACCCGCAGCUUCCGCCUUGACAGGGCGGUGCUCUGACCAAUUGAACUACAAUCCCAAGGUGUACAGCAUAGGAAGAAAGAGCUGAGUUUCCUUGCCUCAUCAAAGGCUGAUGGAUUUACUUAUCUCAAUCCCAUUUGACUUUUUAGCGCUCCUUAUCAACUCAAAUUCUUUGAGCCUCUUUCACUGAAAAAGCAUAAGGCAGACCGAGCACAAAGAGUUUCAUCAAAGCGCGCAAAUUCUUUGCGCCUCUGAAACCAAUAUGGAAGUUUCUUUGUUCGUUGAGGACCUUUGUUUUUGACUUUAUUCAUUGAUCUGAAACUACGAGCACCUAGCUAGGAGCAAAGAAUUUGCGAGAGCCUUGUUCAUUGAUUUCUUUGUCUCUUCGCUUCGCCUCUCUCGCACUCCUCUUCAGUCGAUCUUCUACGAACCCUACGGCUCCUACUACGAUUCCUUGCCCUAGGUGCCUUCCCGCUCCUUUAUCGUCUGAUUUGAGGCUAAAGCUUUCGGUUAGUAGGUUUCCUUGCCUUUGGUUUGCGCUCCGUCCGAAGGACUCCUUUUCCUCUGAUUUUCUUCGCCACAAAUUCUUUGCGCCUCUCCUAUAUCUGAAACUACGAGUACCUUCGCACCUUAAUUUCUCUACGAGCCCCCGGUCUGCAGUCGCUUGGCUUCGCGCCUUACCUACGGUGCCUUGCCUUUGUCGGCGUAAAAGUGCUUUCUUUCUUCUUUUCUUUGUCUUUGUCGGCGAGGGGAUCGGAUUUCUUCCUUUCUUCUUCUUCUCGGACCGCGGGUCGAUCCCCCCUAUCUUUUAUGGCGGGUGGGUCUGAAAGUCAACGUAAUUCGAGUUUGUUCAAGACCGUUGCUUCCCCGUUGUUAAUAAGUAUGAUCCAUAAGCUCGUAGCAAUCAGUCUGUGACCGGUCCGAAGGACUUGUUUAAAGAUAUGAACUUCUUCUUCUCUUUCAUUCCUUAUUCAUUCUCCAAGGCAAAUAUGCUUCUUUCUCUAAUUCAAAGUCUUUGAUUUGCCCCAUCUUGAAUUUCCAUUCUGAUCUUGGGAAUGAAUUCGGUAAGGAAGGAAGUACGAUUAGCGGAAGCGGAAAAGGGGCCUAGAAGCGCAACAAAGGGAUCGGGGCCCAAAAUUCACGUCCUUGGUUUUCAGGCUUUCUGAUCGAUCUACAGAAGGAGUUGAAGCACGUAAACGAGGCAGACCCGAGCCUAAGACGACCUAGUUGCAUUCAUCCGUAGGGGAGGAAGUAGGUUAGUUGUCCUAAUUCCUGAAAAUCGAAAAAGACACGAUUCCAUAGGUUUUGGCUAUAUUAGCCGACUUGUUUAUCCAUGAAAAAUGCCAUUCAAAUUCUCAUUAUUGAGAAAUGAUCUUUCUAGUGAAAAGAGUCCAAAUCUAGGUUCAAACUUUCAUCCAGACAGAGCGCUCAAAGGUGGAAAAUACCUGUCCUUUUGACUUGUUUUUAUCC
Long non-coding RNA from Cucumis melo (muskmelon), 6478 nucleotides. RefSeq lists it as uncharacterized. The transcript is spliced from 2 exons. The record is from RefSeq and is a predicted model, not a curated record. NCBI's taxonomy places the organism in Eukaryota, Viridiplantae, Streptophyta, Magnoliopsida, Cucurbitales, Cucurbitaceae.